UUAACUAUUAUAUAGUAUUCAGACGACACUAAUAUUCAGGGUUUUGGGUCCUCUGGCGGGCGCUUACCAGCCGGGGCCGGUAGUCGGGCCGGAGCCUAACGGCCCGCCAAAGCAACAAAGUAAUAAUAACAUAGGGUGGGAAUUCUACCCGGUAAGGGGAACUCGUUAAUGAUCCCUCCGCAGGUUCACCUACGGAGA
RNAcentral lists this unclassified non-coding RNA (198 nucleotides) under uncultured fungus. RNAcentral's name for it is "sequence contains ITS1, 5.8S rRNA gene". The record is from RNAcentral. Lineage: Eukaryota; Fungi.